This 430-nucleotide ribosomal RNA is filed under the name Actinomycetes bacterium. Its description in RNAcentral is "Actinobacteria bacterium partial 16S ribosomal RNA". It matches the Rfam family "Bacterial small subunit ribosomal RNA", at positions 355 to 776 of the family's 1533-position model. The record is from RNAcentral. Lineage: Bacteria; Bacillati; Actinomycetota; Actinomycetes.
UGGGGAAUCUUGCGCAAUGGGGGAAACCCUGACGCAGCAACGCCGCGUGGGUGAUGAAGGCCUUCGGGUCGUAAAGCCCUGUCAGGUGGGAAGAAACCCAUCGGUGCGAAUAGCACCGGUGAUUGACGGUACCACCGGAGGAAGCACCGGCUAACUCCGUGCCAGCAGCCGCGGUAAUACGGAGGGUGCAAGCGUUGUUCGGAAUUACUGGGCGUAAAGCGCGUGUAGGCGGUCGGGUAAGUCAGAUGUGAAAGCCCCCGGCUUAACUGGGGAACUGCAUUUGAAACUGCCUGGCUCGAGUUCGGGAGAGGAGAGUGGAAUUCCUGGUGUAGAGGUGAAAUUCGUAGAUAUCAGGAGGAACACCGGUGGCGAAGGCGGCUCUCUGGCCCGACACUGACGCUGAGACGCGAAAGCGUGGGGAGCAAACAGG